Molecule: long non-coding RNA, 347 nt
Filed under: Sinocyclocheilus anshuiensis
Lineage: Eukaryota; Metazoa; Chordata; Actinopteri; Cypriniformes; Cyprinidae
Description: lncRNA (ENSSANG00000008430.1)
Source: RNAcentral
CUGCUGUUCUGCUUUACCUUCAAAGGACCUCCAUUACGUGGCAGCAGAUAAGGGUGAGGUGGUGUUAGCCGCUGUAGCCAAGAAGAAGGCUAAUGAAAUAGACGCAGAGGCACAAACAUUGGCACCAGAUGAGUGUCAGUCAGCAUACGAAGGGCAGAGUAGAGUCCAACUACCAUCAACCAUCAGUGAGAGGCAUGUUCACGACCCCAAUCACUGGAGCACUGCAUCAAGGGCUGGAGAAACGUCAACCUCUGAGGCUACAGAUGACUUCUCGAACACCCUCACAAGUCAUCGCACCUGGCCUUGGAAACACACAGGUGUGUUCUUUUGAAUACAAGUCCGCUUGA